GUUGUACACUGGCUUAUUUGAUGAAAUUGCACUUUGUUGUUUCUUGUUCUUCUGAGUUUGUGUCCUUAUGGUUGAAUGAACUUAUUGUAAGUCGCUUUGGAUAAAAGCGUCAGAUAAAUGACAUGUAAUGUGAUGUAAUUUCUCAAGAGUCACCAAGCGUCUCCAUUGGACCAUAAAGCAGGGAAUGCUUUAGGGCGGGGCUACACAGUGAUUGACAGGUCUCUAGACCAGAUCAAACAAGACACAAAAUAAGAUGUCUGAUUAUCAAGAAGCUUUAUUGUCUUCAUCAGAUUGAACAUCAUCAUCUUCCUCUUCAUCAUCGUCACCAUCAUCAUCCUCCUCAUUAUAGUCAUCAUUCUCAAUAUCCUCAUCAUCUUCAUCAUCACCAUCAUCCUCCUUACCACCACCACUACCAUCAUCACCAUCUUCAUCAUCAACACCUGUGUGCUGGACGUCAGGAGGCUGUUAACAUGCAGCUGAGCCGGGCAGACAGACAGGAAGACAGACGGAUAACGGAGGAAACAGACAGACAGACAGAGGUAGGUCAGACAGAACGGACGCCAAAGGGGGGCAGAGAGGUAGACAGCUGGGCAGGUAGUCAAGUAGGGGAACAGACAGGUGGUCGUCAGGCAGAGACAGGCAGGUAGAUAUGAGGACUGUCUCAGGUAGUCACAGACAGACAGGUGGUCGUCAGGCAGAGACAGGCAGGUAGAUAUGAGGACUGUCUCAGGUAGUCGCAGACAGACAGGUGGUCGUCAGGCAGAGACAGGCAGGUAGAUAUGAGGACUGUCUCAGGUAGUGGCAGACAGACAGGUGGUCGUCAGGCAGAGACAGGCAGGUAGAUAUGAGGACUGUCUCAGGUAGUCGCAGACAGACAGGUGGUCGUCAGGCAGAGACAGGCAGGUAGAUAUGAGGACUGUCUCAGGUAGUGGCAGACAGACAGGUGGUCGUCAGGCAGAGACAGGCAGGUAGAUAUGAGGACUGUCUCAGGUAGUGGCAGACAGACAGGUGGUCGUCAGGCAGAGACAGGCAGGUAGAUAUGAGGACUGUCUCAGGUAGUGGCAGACAGACAGGUGGUCGUCAGGCAGAGACAGGCAGGUAGAUAUGAGGACUGUCUCAGGUAGUCGCAGACAGACAGGUGGUCGUCAGGCAGAGACAGGCAGGUAGAUAUGAGGACUGUCUCAGGUAGUCGCAGACAGACAGGUGGUCGUCAGGCAGAGACAGGCAGGUAGAUAUGAGGACUGUCUCAGGUAGUCACAGACAGACAGGUGGUCGUCAGGCAGAGACAGGCAGGUAGAUAUGAGGACUGUCUCAGGUAGUCGCAGACAGACAGGUGGUCGUGAGGCAGAGACAGGCAGGUAGAUAUGAGGACUGUCUCAGGUAGUCGCAGACAGACAGGUGGUCGUCAGGCAGAGACAGGCAGGUAGAUAUGAGGACUGUCUCAGGUAGUGGCAGACAGACAGGUGGUCGUCAGGCAGAGACAGGCAGGUAGAUAUGAGGACUGUCUCAGGUAGUCGCAGACAGACAGGUGGUCGUCAGGCAGAGACAGGCAGGUAGAUAUGAGGACUGUCUCAGGUAGUCGCAGACA
This is a long non-coding RNA of Gasterosteus aculeatus aculeatus (three-spined stickleback), 1588 nucleotides long. NCBI's taxonomy places the organism in Eukaryota, Metazoa, Chordata, Actinopteri, Perciformes, Gasterosteidae. The record is from Ensembl.